UGGUUUUGAGUCCUGUCCCGUGUGA
RNAcentral lists this non-coding RNA (25 nucleotides) under Rattus norvegicus (Norway rat). The record is from RNAcentral. Lineage: Eukaryota; Metazoa; Chordata; Mammalia; Rodentia; Muridae.